Molecule: long non-coding RNA, 147 nt
Organism: Fundulus heteroclitus (mummichog)
Lineage: Eukaryota; Metazoa; Chordata; Actinopteri; Cyprinodontiformes; Fundulidae
Exons: 3
Source: RefSeq, a predicted model, not a curated record
CAGACUGUUCUGUAAUGUACUGUUGUGCUCUGGUGAUACCAUCAUGUUGAUCAAAACCAGAAUCUACAAUACACAGAAAUAUGUCAAGAUAAAAGAGCCAAGCCUUGAGGAAUUCUUAAAUUCUGCUUUCUUGAAGUUCUCAGUUCC